GACGAACGCUGGCGGCGUGCCUAAUACAUGCAAGUAGAACGCUGAAGGAGGAGCUUGCUUCUCUGGAUGAGUUGCGAACGGGUGAGUAACGCGUAGGUAACCUGCCUGGUAGCGGGGGAUAACUAUUGGAAACGAUAGCUAAUACCGCAUAAUAGUAGAUGUUGCAUGACAUUUGCUUAAAAGGUGCAAUUGCAUCACUACCAGAUGGACCUGCGUUGUAUUAGCUAGUUGGUGGGGUAACGGCUCACCAAGGCGACGAUACAUAGCCGACCUGAGAGGGUGAACGGCUACACUUGGACUGAGACCAGGCCCAGACUCCUACGGGAGGCAGCAGUAGGGAAUCUUCGGCAAUGGACGGAAGUCUGACCGAGCAACGCCGCGUGAGUGAAGAAGGGUCUCGGAACGGAAAGCUCUGUUGUAAGGGAAGAACGAGUGUGAGAGUGGAAAGUUCACACUGUGACGGUAUCUUACCAGAAAGGGACGGCUAACUACGUG
This 495-nucleotide ribosomal RNA is filed under the name uncultured bacterium. RNAcentral describes it as "partial 16S ribosomal RNA". It matches the Rfam family "Bacterial small subunit ribosomal RNA", at positions 28 to 507 of the family's 1533-position model. The record is from RNAcentral.